GUGAUGCCCAACUCAGGCCUGUGCCUCCACCCCUCCCAGUCACCACAGUCCUAACCCUUUGUCCUCCCCUCCAGCUGGACAAUGCCAGGCAGUCUGCUGAGAGGAACAGCAACCUGGUGGGGGCCGCCCACGAGGAGCUGCAGCAGUCGCGCAUCCGCAUCGACAGCCUCUCUGCCCAGCUCAGCCAGCUCCAGAAGCAGCUGGCAGCCAAGGAGGCGAAGCUUCGAGACCUGGAGGACUCACUGGCCCGUGAGCGGGACACCAGCCGGCGGCUGCUGGCGGAAAAGGAGCGGGAGAUGGCCGAGAUGCGGGCAAGGAUGCAGCAGCAGCUGGACGAGUACCAGGAGCUUCUGGACAUCAAGCUGGCCCUGGACAUGGAGAUCCACGCCUACCGCAAGCUCUUGGAGGGCGAGGAGGAGAGGCUACGCCUGUCCCCCAGCCCUACCUCGCAGCGCAGCCGUGGCCGUGCUUCCUCUCACUCAUCCCAGACACAGGGUGGGGGCAGCGUCACCAAAAAGCGCAAACUGGAGUCCACCGAGAGCCGCAGCAGCUUCUCACAGCACGCGCGCACUAGCGGGCGCGUGGCCGUGGAGGAGGUGGACGAGGAGGGCAAGUUUGUCCGGCUGCGCAACAAGUCCAAUGAGGUAGGCUCCUGCUCAGGGUCUAAGGGGAUACAGCUGCAUCAGGGAGAGAGUGGCAAGACAGAAGGAUGGCAUGUGGAGAGAGGAACAUCCUUGCCCUCAGAGGGUGGACCAGGGUGAGCCUGUAUAUCUCCUCCACACUCUAGUUCCAGGCCUGGCUCCUGGACUCUUUGGCUGUGAGACCUUGAGCAGGCUAUUUAACCUCUCAGAGCAUCAGUUUCCUCAUCUGUAAAAUGGGGAUGAAUACUGAUCCCUAAGUCUUUGAGUUGUCAGGAAGAUGAAGGAUAAGGUAUCCGUGUGCCUGGUGCUGCGUAUGUGUCCACAGAUCAUGGCUAUUAUCCCCGGGGGAAGGGCAGUGACAGGGGUGUGUGUAGAUGGAAGGAGAGGCCUCAAUUGCAGGCGGGCAGAGGGUUGGGCCUUUGAGCAAGAUACACCCAAGAGCCUGGGUGAGCCUCUCCGACCUUCCUCUUCCCUAUCUUCCCGGCAGGACCAGUCCAUGGGCAAUUGGCAGAUCAAGCGCCAGAAUGGAGAUGAUCCCUUGCUGACUUACCGGUUCCCACCAAAGUUCACCCUGAAGGCUGGGCAGGUGGUGACGGUGAGUGGCAGGGCGCUUGGGACUCUGGGGAGGCCUUGGGUGGCGAUGGGAGCACUGGGGUAAGUGUCCUUUUCUCCUCUCCAGAUCUGGGCUGCAGGAGCUGGGGCCACCCACAGCCCCCCUACCGACCUGGUGUGGAAGGCACAGAACACCUGGGGCUGCGGGAACAGCCUGCGUACGGCUCUCAUCAACUCCACUGGGGAAGUAAGUAGGCCUGGGCCUGGCUGCUUGCUGGACGA
RNAcentral lists this small RNA (1475 nucleotides) under Pan troglodytes (chimpanzee). RNAcentral describes it as "retained intron". Lineage: Eukaryota; Metazoa; Chordata; Mammalia; Primates; Hominidae. The record is from RNAcentral.